RNAcentral lists this ribosomal RNA (314 nucleotides) under Staphylococcus aureus. RNAcentral's name for it is "partial 23S ribosomal RNA". It matches the Rfam family "Bacterial large subunit ribosomal RNA", at positions 2240 to 2553 of the family's 2925-position model. The record is from RNAcentral. Lineage: Bacteria; Bacillati; Bacillota; Bacilli; Caryophanales; Staphylococcaceae.
CGUGGUGGGAGACAGUGUCAGGCGGGCAGUUUGACUGGGGCGGUCGCCUCCUAAAAGGUAACGGAGGCGCUCAAAGGUUCCCUCAGAAUGGUUGGAAAUCAUUCAUAGAGUGUAAAGGCAUAAGGGAGCUUGACUGCGAGACCUACAAGUCGAGCAGGGUCGAAAGACGGACUUAGUGAUCCGGUGGUUCCGCAUGGAAGGGCCAUCGCUCAACGGAUAAAAGCUACCCCGGGGAUAACAGGCUUAUCUCCCCCAAGAGUUCACAUCGACGGGGAGGUUUGGCACCUCGAUGUCGGCUCAUCGCAUCCUGGGGC